GGGUAGACUUUUGAAAACGAUAAAAUUGGAAACUCGACGAAGAUAAGAUUCGAUUUCUUUUGUAGAUCCUAACAUGACGAUUCAACUAUUUAAUAAAUUUUGAACAUAACCAUAUAUGUAAAAUAAUAAUAAUAAAUUACAUAAGUAAAUAUGUCUCGGUGCUAGCCGCUCAAUUGCGCGGAUCACCCUACUAGCUAUAUAUAUGAGAAAUAAUUAAUGGGACGUGUAGUAGUGGAUGGGGCAACAUUCGGAGAACUUCCUCUAAAGGCUAAAAAUAUGUGAUAAAGCAACAAACAAUAAUAGUCUAACUAGGCUUGUCAUGCUUAACUUGUUACUUGUGCAUGCCAAGUUGAGAUAUCUAUACUCCUUUAAAAAGACUCCAAUGAUAAUGGCAGUGAAUUUGUCACCCCACCUACUCCCGUUGAAACAUAUUAUCCCUUGAACUUCUUAAUAUUACAUAGCAACUAAAUCUAACUAAAUCUAAAUGAAUAGCCACAUAUAAAAUUAAUAUGGAUAGCCCACAUUGCUAUAUUUCAUAGAAAAUAUGAUUUAUUUAUGUUAGAAAAUAUUGUUAUAUUUUUUCUUGUAUCCGUAGCAAAGCACGGGCAUUUAGCUAGUAUAUCUAAAUAUAGUCCCCAAUUUUGACCCCCUCCAUAUAGAACACUUUUUUUUAAUUCUGUAACUGUACUGUUUGCUUUUUUAAUACAAGUUGGAUGUAAAACAUCAUGCACAUACCACACUCACAUCCACACACACCUUAGGUGGGUGAUUUCAAGCACACGUCUAAAAAGAUUGAAGGCCUAGCUAGUCUCAGUAGCAAAGGUACGCGCUUUUACCACAGAAUGCUGGAAAUCCUGCUAUAUUAUUUGGUGUUAUCAAAGAGUAAUAAGUGGACUGCAUUGAACAGAAAAGAAAAAAAAAUGAUGCAAUUACGAAAUGCAAGCAGUACGUGCUAGCUUGAGGGAGAGACGUGGUCACUCACAUUCACGGCUGAAAUUGCUCCAUAUCCGCUGUGCCCACUGCUCCGUACGAUCUGAUACUGAAAUUGCAGCGAAGGAUGAUGUAAACCGAGUAACCGACGUGCACGGUUAGUUGGUUGUGACUGAUGAAAAGUUCUGUCAUACUCCUUCCCUUAAAAAAAAAAAGUCCAAAUCUUGCUACAAAUAUAAACUGUAUGCGUCUAGAUUCAUAGCUAGGAUUAACUUUUUUUAACUAGAAAAAAUAUCCGUGCGUUGCAACAGGUGAAGACUAUUUUAAUUUUAUUAUUGUUAUACAGUUUAGUUAAGGUGAAAUUCACUUUGGGAAUUCGCUAGGAUAUAUGUUUUUUUAGAAAAUCAUGAGCUGCAAUAAAAGUCUACUUCUUAUAUAUUUCCAAAAGCGAACUAACUUAAAAACUAAUUUAAUUACGGAUAUGUAUUUCGAAAAAGAAUGAACUUAAAAACUGACUCAUAUAUGGAUGACGUAUUAAAAUACCGGCAAAACAUGGUUCCGAAUGAUAGAAGUACCAGACAUGAGUAGCGGUAGCAUCACAAUGUAUAUAUGCCAAUCCGAGUAAGCAUGGC
This 1562-nucleotide small RNA is filed under the name Oryza sativa Japonica Group (Japanese rice). RNAcentral's name for it is "sRNA Os01g0799600". Lineage: Eukaryota; Viridiplantae; Streptophyta; Magnoliopsida; Poales; Poaceae. The record is from RNAcentral.